Molecule: long non-coding RNA, 605 nt
Filed under: Mus musculus (house mouse)
Lineage: Eukaryota; Metazoa; Chordata; Mammalia; Rodentia; Muridae
Description: predicted gene, 47040
Source: RNAcentral
GGAGGGCGCAGCGAUCCCGGCGCAGCCCCGCGCUCGCCACCGGCCGCCCGCGCGAUUCAAUGGACGUCAGAAGCCGGGCGCAGCCGCGCUUUAAAUCUAGACGGGGGUCUCCGAGGAGCCGCCACUUAACGGCAGAAUUUCAAAGUUGAACUGUUUUCUUCUUUACUCAGAGAUACUUAUGCUGUGAUGUACUACUGAGGAAGAAGUUCCUUAUGCAGGAAGGCAAAUAAUUCAAAACAGCUUCAGGAAGUCCCCGAAACUGAGCAGAUUCGCUACCUCCUUCCUACCGAGUUAAUAAUAAAAGCUGAGAAUCUAAAGGAAAAUGAGCUACAAAGACGACUGCAAAGACGACUCUGAGACAAGAGAAGCUGCCGGGGAGAAUCAGAAACCAGCCAAGCUGCCUGGAAGAGGUUUAGACCAGAAUCACUUUGAAAGGACCCUCUGGAACCUGUUGAGGUGCCUGCAGUUUGUGAAGUGUGCUGUGGGUUCCCCAGCUUUUGUGAACUGUCACCCAGGCUGGGGUGGUCCAUGGUGAGGCAGCUGUCUUUGAGUCAUUUAUGCUCUUGUAAGUAACCCCAAUAAAACACAUUGAUUCACUGGGAUGG